Molecule: transfer RNA, 74 nt
Filed under: Aeromonas rivipollensis
Lineage: Bacteria; Pseudomonadati; Pseudomonadota; Gammaproteobacteria; Aeromonadales; Aeromonadaceae
Description: tRNA-Met
Source: RNAcentral
CGCGGGGUGGAGCAGCUCGGUAGAUCGUCGUGCUCAUAACCCGAAGGUCAUCAGUUCUAAGCUGGCCCCCGCAA